Molecule: non-coding RNA, 52 nt
Filed under: Trypanosoma lewisi
Lineage: Eukaryota; Euglenozoa; Kinetoplastea; Trypanosomatida; Trypanosomatidae
Source: RNAcentral
AUAUUAUAUAAACGACAUGCAAUAUAACGUUCUAGAUUACAUUGAUAGAAAU